Molecule: RNA transcript, 1095 nt
Organism: Gossypium arboreum
Lineage: Eukaryota; Viridiplantae; Streptophyta; Magnoliopsida; Malvales; Malvaceae
Gene name: mediator of RNA polymerase II transcription subunit 7a
Exons: 7
Source: RefSeq, a predicted model, not a curated record
GUCCUUCCAGAAAAAAGUAAAUUGGAUUUCGAGCUUGGAUGGAUAAGCGGCGAUGAGGUCAACAAAGUCGAACUAAAUUUUUCAAAAAUUGCUAAAUCAUCCCAAUAAGAUUUAAAUUUAUAAGAGCAGGUCCAACUUAUUUUCCUAUUAAUAUAAUUACUGUUUCUACUAGUACUUGCAAAGAUCCAAGCCAAGACUUCACAGCCUUCCAUUUUCCGACUUAAAGCUCAGAUAAAUAACCUCGCCGGCGAGACGCUUUUUCACCGUUGAAUCCAGUGUUAGGCUGACUAGAGAUGGCAACAGCUACAUAUCCACCACCGCCACCGUUUUACAGGCUCUACAAAGAUUACUUACAAAACCCUAAAUCAGCACCGGAGCCUCCGCCGCCUAUUGAAGGCACUUACGUUUGCUUUGGUGGCAACUAUACCACUGAUGAUGUGCUUCCGAGUUUGGAAGAUCAAGGGGUUCGCCAACUCUACCCCAAAGGACCUAAUAUUGAUUUCAAGAAGGAAUUGAGGUCGCUUAACAGAGAAUUGCAACUACAUAUUUUGGAGCUUGCAGAUGUUCUCGUCGAGAGACCAUCACAAUACGCUAGACAAGUGGAGGAGAUAUCUCUCAUAUUCAAGAACUUGCACCACUUGCUGAAUUCAUUGCGCCCCCAUCAGGCUAGAGCAACACUAAUUCACAUUCUAGAACUUCAGAUACAACGGCGUAAAGAAGCUCUGGAGGAUAUUAAGAGGGGGGAAAUUUUACUCCCGAGAAUUUAGAAGAGUGCAUGGCCCUUUCACUGGAGACAAAGAACAUUCCUCUCAGAAUUUUCAUAAGGAGGCGAGAAGAAGCACGAAGACUACUCAAGGAAUCGCUCGGGACCUUAGAUGGACAGUAGCACUUUGAUUUUGAGCUCAAAUUUCAAAUCACUUCCUUAUAAGGUCGAUUCCGUAAACCGAACUAACAUUUCUCAUGAAUCCUACUAGUUUGAAAUAGAUCCAGUGUUUGUAGUUAAAAAGCUUCAUAUUCUCCCAACUUGAGUUAGUAUAGUUUUUGUAUUGAUGUGAAAUUUGUAUCUGUUUAUAUUGAAAUCACUUGCAGACAAAA